UACGUAGGAUGCAAGCGUUGUCCGGAGUUACUGGGCGUAAAGCGCACGCAGGCGGUCUGUUAAGUUUGGAGUGACAGUUGGUGGCUUAACUGCCAAAGUGCUUCGAAAACUGACAGACUUGAGGGCUUCAGAGGGACACGGAAUUCCGGGUGGAGUGGUGAAAUGCGUAGAGAUCCGGAGGAACACCAAAGGCGAAGGCAGUGUCCUGGGGAGUACCUGACGCUCAGGUGCGAAAGCCAGGGGAGCGAACGGG
This 253-nucleotide ribosomal RNA is filed under the name uncultured bacterium. RNAcentral's name for it is "partial 16S ribosomal RNA". It matches the Rfam family "Bacterial small subunit ribosomal RNA", at positions 524 to 776 of the family's 1533-position model. The record is from RNAcentral.